This is a long non-coding RNA of Sapajus apella (tufted capuchin), 9639 nucleotides long. RefSeq lists it as uncharacterized. The record is from RefSeq and is a predicted model, not a curated record. Lineage: Eukaryota; Metazoa; Chordata; Mammalia; Primates; Cebidae. The transcript is spliced from 2 exons.
UAACAGUCUUAUGGGACCACUGUAGUAUAUGGUGUAAACCAAAAACAAAAUUCUAAGCUGCUCAGCCUACUGAAUGGAUUCUUCCUCUCAGGAUUCCAGGAAAACCUGAAAAAUUAGUUCAGGCCGUGAUGGGAAGGGGGAGUCAGACAUGUCUCAUUAGAUUCUCUUCUUUUUGGAAUUGAGGCACAACUGACCAGCAUUAACAUUAAGACAGAGGUCUUAAGACUGGCAAAACAGACUCUGCAGUGUGAAAGGAAAUAAGAUACCAAAUUCCAACCUCGCUUUAACAUAGCAUCACAUGGCAGAUAGCAGGCCCUGAAAGAAGUAUUUUACCCUAAUAUGUAUUUCUUUACAUAUUUUGAAAUAGCUGUGCAAAGCUGUCUCUUGUGGCGAAAAUUUACGUUCUGCAGAGAAUCUCUUUCCCUUUCCAGGUCUUUUUCUGACCCUGAAGAGUAACUUAAAUGUAUUACCUCUAAGGGUGCCACCUAUAAGACUUCAUCUGCAUAGUAAGAACCUUGGUCUCCACAACUCCUUAUCUUAACCCAGACACUCCUUUCUACUGAUUCUAGGUCUUGAGAUAAUAACUUAAUUCAUUCAACCAGUUACGAGUCGGGAACAUCUUUGAAUCUGCCUGUGACUUAUAAGCUGUCCCUCUUUCCUCUCAUCUCUCUUUUGAGUUGUCCCAGCUUUCUGGACCAAACCUAUAUAUUCCUCACAUGUAUUGAGUGAUGUCUUAUGUCUCCCUAAAACAUAUAAAAUCAAGCUUAACCCGAUCACCUUGGGCACAUAUUCUGAGGACCCCUUGAGGCCUUGUCAUGGGUCAUGGUCCUUAUAUUUGGCUCAGAAUAAAUCUCUUAAGAGUAUUUUACAAUUUGGCUUUUUAGUCAGCAGUGGGUAUAUGUGGUCUCUUGUUGACUAACAUGUUGUUAGGUAGUACAUGACUGUAGUUACUUUUUCUUUACUAGUCUCCACUUUAUUUAAGCAUUUUAAUUUAAAACUUGUUAAUUAAGGGUACUUUCUUGAAGGAAUGAUCAAAUUAUUGUGCCAUGUCUCUGUUAAAUAUUUUGGAGCAUUAUGCCAUGUGUUUUGAAUAUUUAUUCCUUUAAGUGUGCUAGUGAGAGAGCAAAGAACUUGCCGAUCAAACAUAAAUUUCUGCUGUUUACCUUUAUGUGUUUUUCUUUCUUUGCUAGGAAUAGAAAAUGAUGAGGUUUUGCUGUAAGGCGCUAUGGCAAGAGACAUUAUAUAAAUAUUUAUAAAAUGGAUGAUUACAAAAAAAGGGGAUUAAAACAAGACAGGAGCUUAGUGGGCAUUUUGUGUUAAGAUAAAUAUCAAAUUUUUGAAAUUAAUCUCUUGAGGCAGAGGUGGGCUGAUGAUUCUCCUUGCCAGGUAGCAGAAUCUAUUGGUAUUUCUAUUCCUGUUUUUGAUUUGAGAUUAAACUAACAGACUGUAUUCCUUAGUUGCUGAUACCUUUCAUGUUCAUAUGCUGAUAAAAACCCGGACCUCUGUCCAGACCCUGGUCAUUUCGUGAAACCCACCUUCCUAAUCUUUGUUUUAAUUUCUUCCCUCUCUAGUAAUUUUUAUCUGCUCACCACCUUCUGAAUAUUGCCUUGGGCAUGCUUGUUUCUAAGCUUUUGAUCACUUCUUUUCUCUCUAGAGUGCACUUCUAUGAAUCUCCAUUCUUUCUGUAAAGUCCUUCCCCUGGAUUGUAUCCCCGAGGUGUUUCCUUCCUCUGAACUCCUACAUUAUGACUAUUUCACUUGUAGUGUAGCCCCUCCUAGUGUCAGUACCAGCCUGACGUUCAUGUUUAAAGUCGUAGAGGGCAGUUGCCAUGUCUCGUGGUACACUUCUCUCCUCUUCCUCGCCCUUUCUAUUUUCUCUGGUGCCAUUUGGUAUCCAGUAAGUGUAUAUUGGCUGAUAAUGUUAUUUUGAAACAUAUCUAUGGAACUGGUGAUUUUCUGUUAUUACCUUUCAGGAGGGCCUCUGGGAGCCAGUUCUCUGUUCUCCUUUGUAUUUUUCUACCUUCACUUGCCCAUUGGAUGUAUAAUUAGAAAUUUUAUAUUGAGAGCUACUGUAGACUGAAUUAUUCCCCACCUCCUAAUUCAUAUGUUGAAGUCCUAACUUCCAAUGUGACGGUAUGUAGAAUUGGGGCCUUGGAGGGUAAUUAAAUUUAAAUGAGGGCCAGGCAUGGUAUAAACUCAGGAGGCUAAGGUGGGGGAUCACUUGAGCCCAGGAGUUCCAGGCUGCAGUGAGUUAUGAUUGUGCCACUGCACUCUCUAGCCUGGGUGGCAGAGCAAGACUCUGACUUUUAGAAACAAAAUCAAGUUAAAAGCAAUUUAGAUGAGAUCGUGAGGGUGGAGUCCUCAAGAUGAGAUUAGUGACCACGUAAGAAGAGACAAGAGAGAUCUUCCCUUCCUCCCUUGUUCCUGCUGGCCAUGUGAGGACACGGCAAGAAGGUUGUCUGCAAGCCAGGAAGAGAACCCUCACCAGAACCUGACCAUGCUGGCAGAUUGAGGCCCUCCAGCCUCUAAAACUAGGAGAAUCUCUGUUGUUUAAGCUACUCAGUCUAUGAUAUUUUGUUAUGGCAGUUCAAGCUAAUAAAGAUCAGAGUCAUAAAUCUUACUUUAGAAAGUAACUCCUAUUUUCAGCAGUAUUAAGUUUUUAAUAUAUACUCAUACCUUUUAAACUUGCUUUGGGGAAUGUAUAAAGUCAUCAAAGUUUAGAAACUAAAGAGACUUUAAAAGAUCAUUCCAGGUGUAAAAGGUACCAAGGAAGGAAGUGUGUUGUAAAUCGGGUUUGAGCUGUUCUAGUUAUGUAUUCAGUGCCCACUACUCUUCUACCCUCUCCUGCUGGUGCAUUCAAGACCUCCCUUGUGUAGCGAGACAUUCUUACUAGGGCACUUCCCUAACUUAACCUAAGUUUCAAAGCAUGUUUUUCUGACUGGUUCCUCAUCUGUGAGUAAUAAUGGUUUCAUUUUUCUCCCUGGACUUUGGAACUUGACCAUCUUUUGGACUGUACUCCUGACCUUUUGUUGCUUUCUUCGGCUUAGAGAAUUUAUUUCUAAUAUAAAUCAGCUCCUCUUUUCUCUUUCCUUUGGAUUGAUAUAUGAGUGUUUAGAGGAUCACCCAUCUCUCUUCGUGUUUCAGCCAAAGAAACCAUCAUCUUCCUUCUCUCCUCUCUCUUUGACAAUAUAAUCCUGAAGAUUCAGUGUUCCUUUAAGCUACUUAAAUUGCAUUUUUAGUGUUUACAACACCUUUUUUAUCCUUUACAUGGCUUAACCAUCUCCUCCUUUGUAUUACCUCCACUUUCCUUUUUUUUUUAACCUCCACUUCUUGAACAUAUGGUACUUCUGUCACAGUUAUUUGCCUCAACAUUAUUUUCCCCAUAGAAUGCUAAUUUCCUGAGGACAGUUUGUGUAUUUUUUCUCUGCAUUCUCAGUGCUCAACAUAAAAGUUGGUGAACUGAUAAAAAUGAGAAAUUGAUGAAAGUUGGCUGAACUAAUCCAUAGUUCCAAAUCUGCAAAGUUCCACAUAUUUAGAGUAUUUUCCAGAUAAUCAAGGUUUUUUAUAACUUCCUCUCCCACAACAGGAUUUUGUGUGUACAUUAUAGGAAAUUGUGUGGCCAUGACAAUCUCUUUUACAGUUUAUAUAGAUGCCAUACAUUCAUUAUUCUCCUAAACUGCCUGACAUGUUUUGGCCUUAUUCAUAAUGUGGCCAGUGUGAUGUUGGGGUGACUAUUCAUUGAAAGACUAUUUGGAGCAAAUCUGUAAACUUAAGCUGUGUAUCCUUGAACAAAGAAGCCCUUCUCCACUCUUGGUCUAAUUGUACUUGCUUAUCCACCUUAAGCAAAUACUCUCUGUAGUAUGCUGUUCUAGAUGUGGCAUCGUUAAUUGGGAAGCAGGGCAUGUAUCUUUUGAUAUGAUCAAAGUGGUUCAUUGUUGGCUCAAAUGUGCCAGUGCCUGUGAUACUUGUUUAAGACUGAUUGACAGGUCUCAGAUUCUUGUGUGUUUAAAGAACUUGUUUUCUAUAUUGGAACUCCAUAUUUUCAGUGAUAAGAGAUGUGUCAAAUGAAUUGAGAAUUCCUUAAAUGGAAAUCAUUCCAACUUCUGAUAAAUGAUGCCAAGGCAAGUCAUAUUUCCAAUUUUCUGCAUUAAAAAAUAAUCUCAAGUUUAUAGGUUAAGUAUUUAUAGAUAGCCCAAUAGCUUUGAUGGCUUCUACGCACCAAAGUGGCUAAGAAAACAUAGUCAGAAUUCAGGAUGCUGCUGUCUUUUAAAGUGUCAUACUUACAGAAUGUUUAAUAUCUGACCCUUUAGUGGUAACUGCAUUUGGGCAAAUGUCCCUUAAAUAGCUAAAACUGAAAAUAUUCCUUCACUGAAUGAAAUUACCCUGGUAUGUCAUAUAUUUCAAAGUCAGGGUUGAAGUAAUUUUAACUUUUUGGAACAUGACUCUGAACUGGGUAGCAGACUGGGGCUUAGUUGUUUGAAGCCUUUGGAUUUCAUUCUUCAGUAGAGGGUACUCUCAGUUCUGGUGGUUCUUUCUUUGGGGUUCAAUGCCAUUAUUGCAAAGUAAGAGCUUUAAAAGGAUUAUGAACAAGCUGGAAACCUAGGGAAGGAAUCUCCACUUUUGCAAAUGGGAGAUGGAGAACUUGAAGAAAGUGAAAUUUGAGGUGAAUCUGGAAAGAUGAAUGUGCAUUUUCCAGGUUGUUAGAGUGGCGUCAAGACAAAGGGAUGCAUUCUUAUGAAACAGGGAAUCACCAAAGGGUGAGGAAUGUUUGCCAUGGACUUUUUAUCUUCAUAUAUAUUGUGUUAAUUAUCUAGUAGCAUCUUGAGAAUAGGGGCGUUGAGAGGAAAGAAUGGAUGUGAGAUGCAAUAGGAGCAAAUUAUUUGGCAGGUUUAGCCAAAGGACCAAAGGAAAAAGAAUGGAAUGUUUUCAGGGGAGUGUCUUUGUGGUCACCAACUUUGGAGUUCAGAGAGUUUAGGGAACUAAGUGAGCCAGAAGGAUUAUGGUAAAUCGGAUGUCAUGGACCAGAAGGCAGGGGCUUUGUAUAUAAAUAGGUAUGAGUGUCUAUGUGUAUAGUUUAACAACAAAUAAUUUAUACCUUGAGUUUGUUUUGUUAAUAAUAGACUUCUUAGCCUCUGGGAACCAUGCCAAGGUAUAUUUCAAAAUGAGCUUUCUUAAACAAGCUCUGUUUUUCUGUUUGAGUGGCUUUGUUUUAUUCACUGUGUCUAGAACUUAUUUAUUUGGCUGUAAUUCCUAAUGUUUUUCAUUUAAUAGGAUCAUGAUAUAUUAGGAUAGAUGAACACUUAAAGGAUAUUUUUCAUCCAUCCACUCAAGACAUGAAAUUCUUGUUACCCACACAACAGGUUGGUUUGAUUGCUGGACUAGGUAUCAACCCAAUGACGAGAACCAAGGAAAUACAGUAAGAUUUAGUAUUUAAUAAAGAGAGUUUAUUACUCAUAACAAGUAAGAAGAACACCAGGGAUAGUUCUCAAGGCAGUGUCUCCCGGAGCUGGGGGUGGGUCAGGUUUCAUAAGCAUCGGAUAAUGAGUUGUGAUCUGAUUGGAUCUUGUAAUGAUGUGAUGCCGGGAGGCCUGAUCUGACUGGAUCCUGCUGUAGAAUGAUGCUAGAGCUCCACCUGAUUGGAUCCUGGAUUCUGUUGUGUGGUGUUCACUUCUUAGUUCAUUCCCGGCUUUUAGGUUUCCCCUGUGGUUGCAUGCUUGGUUCAUUUGGACAUGCCCAGGUUACGUGACCUGAGGGUCCAUGGCAACUGAAAACAGACAACUUCGUUACCCAGAAGUUGAACCAUAUUGCUCUGGUGCGGAUGUACUUCCACAGCAUUCCUGUUAUUUGGCUGUCCAGUCUUUUAUACUUCUAGUAAGAAGAAUUUUAUUACUUCCGUGGACACCUAUUAAAUCUUAACAUUUUAGUUCUUUGUUUAAUUUAUAGCAAGGAAAAAAUCAUAUUAAAACUAAUUAAAAUGGAAUAAUGCCUACCACUAAAUAUACCUUUACAAUGGCUAAAAUUACAAAGACUAAUCAUACAAAGUAUUGGUGAGGAUGUGGAGGAACUAGAACUCUCGUACACUGCUGGUGGAUGUGCGAUAGUGUAACCACUUUGGAAAACAGUUUGGCAAAAUUUUAAAACAUUAAACAUACGCCUAUCAUACAGUCCAGCCUUUCCAAACUUAGGGAAUGAAAAAAUAUGCUCCUACAAAGAUUUCUACGUGAAUAUUCAUAUCAGUUUUACUUGUAAUAGUCCCAAACUGGAAACAAUCUGUAUGUCAAUUUGCAGGUGAAUGGAUAGACAAAUGUGGUAUAUCCAAACAAUGACCAUUCAACUCAUCAAUAAAACGGAAUGAACUAUUGAUAUGUGCUAAGCAUGGGUGAAUCUCAGCUCUAUCAUGUUAAGUAAAAGAAGGCAGACUCAAAAGGCUACAUGUUAUAACAUUUGCAUUUGUAUAACAUUCUAGAAAAUGCAAACAAAUCUGUAGUCACAGAAAGCAGAUCAGUAGUUGCCUGGAGUUUCAUCUCAAAGGAAAAGAACUAAAUGCCCUGCGGGGUAGCCUAAAAAUCUGAUUUCAUUUUACUGAUGUGGAAAGAAAAUUAAUAUAUUAGGGCACUUUUCAUUGCUUAGUGGCCAAAAUGUCUGUGAGUCCUACUCUAAUCAUAUAGAAGCAGUUUCUUACAGAAAAAAAAGCAAGUUUGUUAUGCUUUAAGUUGUUCAGGAACCAACUUUUCAGUGUCCUGUACACAUAGUGAGUGAUGCUAAAUAUUUGGGUGGGGUGGGGUGGGGAUCUUGUGACUGACUCUUUCCUUUGAAUAAAUUUUAUGAGGUUAAAUCACCUGGACAGAUGCUAUAAACAUUUUCAGGGUUCUAUUGCAGAUUGCUACAUUUUCCUGCAAUUAGGUUAUACCGAAAUAUGUUUUCACCAACACUCUGAGAGUUUAUCAGUAUAUCUCAUCACCAACAUUGGCUGUUAUUAUUUGAAAAUUAAUUGUCACUUAGAUUUCUAGAAAAUGGGAAUUUUUCAGUUUAGUUUGUAUUUUCUGGUUACUAAUGAGACUGUUUACUCUUGAGAGUUGUUUAUGUACUUUGCCAGUAUAUGUGUAAAGUUCUAAAUUGAUUUAUAAUAAAAAAGUUCAUUGUUUACAAGCAGAAAUAACAUUGAUCGAGCUGGCUCAUGUGAUGGUUCAAAAUCAGAAGAAUUAAGUUGCUAGCAAGUCAAAUUUAACAUUUACUAGUCUUGGUAUUAUUAUUAUUAUUAUUAUUAUUAUUAUUAUUAUUAUUAUUUUAAAAGACAGGGUUUCACCAUGUUGGUCAGGCUGGUCUUGAACUCCCGACCUCAGGUGAUCGCCCUCCUUGGCCUUCAAAGUGCUUGGAUUACAGGCGUGAGCCACCACACCCGGCCUAGUCUUGGUUUUAUUAAAUAAAAUACCUAUGAUUUACUUUUAGGAAAACAUUCACUUUCACACUAAAUUAAUAUUUUAAAUCUGAACUUUUUUUCAUUUGCUUGUGCAGUUGAUUCUUUAAGUUCUUUAAAAGCUUAAUUAGAAGGUGUUGGUACCAAGUUUUAAGAGUAUAUAUAGUUUUGUUAAAAUGUUACCUACAUAAGGAACUCUUACAGAUCCGUAAGGAAAACCCAAGCAACUCAGAAUGAAAUUGGGCAAAGACAUGAACAGGCGGUUCUCAGAAGAAUACCAAAUGCCCAGUAGCCAUGUGAAGAGAUCCAAUAGUAAUCACAGAAAUUAGGGAAAUGUGAAGUAAGACAAUAUGGUAUAAUUCUAUACCUAUCAAGUUGGCACAACAUUUAAAAAUGUGAUCAAUACCACAUUCUGGUGCUGGGCCAGGGAAUUGGAAGCUCUCCUCCAGGGUGGAAGGCAUAGGAAGUCAGGACACGACUUCUUAUUUGAAGAGUCACAAAUGUCUGCCAGUAUGUGGGCUUAUCUUUCAGUUUCUCAUUUAUGGUGUUUUAGGUUCAGAAAUUUUUUAUUUUAAUUCAGUAAAUAUGUAUCAAUCUUCUCAUGUAUAAUUUGUGGUUUUUGUGUCUUCUAAGAGAAAUUGUAUUUUGCUCCUACAAAGUUGUAAAGAUAUGAUAUGGAAGAGAGGCAAGGAAAUACUGGGAAAGGAAGGUUAUGGUCCCUGGCUAGGGCUCCACCCCUGGGCCUGUACCUAAGAAUCUAGGUGAGGACAGGAAUUUCUGUUUUCCUGCCCAAAAGUUGACUUUCCCGAGACCACCCUGAUGCCAUACCCCCAUCCUAUGCCUGUAAAAACCCUGAGACCUUAGCGUGCGGAGACACAAGCAACUGGACGUCAAGAGGAGCACAUCAGCAGAAGAAUACACAACUGAGAGGUCGAGAGGAGCACAUCGGUUGAAGAGCACGCCACCAGGCACCACAGACACCAGCCUGCUGGCAGGCCAUUGACCAGCAGAACAACUCAGAGUUUGGCCUGGGAGGUUGGAGGAGAGCCCAGGCUGCUGAGCGGCCAAACUCCAGAGGAAAACCGUCUCCCUUCUGGCUCCCCUAUCUGCUGGAGUUACUUCCACUCAAUAAAACCUUGCACCCAUUCCCCAAGCCCAAGUGUGAUCUGAUUCUUCUGAUGCAUGAAGGCCAGAAACCCCAGAAUACAGAAAGCCCUUUAUCCUUGCGAUAAAGCAGGGGGUCUGAUUGAGCUGACUAACAAGCCACCUACUAAUGGCUAAACUGAAAAAAGAGCAUCCUGUAACACACGCCCACUGAGACUUCACAAGCUGUAAACAUUCACCUCUAGAUCCUGCCGUGGGUUUGGGAGCACCAUGGCCUGCUGUAGGGGUUUGAGCAACGGGCCACCAAGGAAGUGAGACACACCCCCAUCACAUGCCCUGUGUAGGGGAUAAGGGAACUUUUCCCAUUUCAGUAUUCUCUGUAUUUCCUUCUAAAGUUUUAAAGUUUUGCUUUUUACAUUGCCUUCACUUUUCCUCAAGAAAAAAAAUUCUCACUGCAUUGUGAGAAGAAUUUAUUCCUUGAUAUUGUGACAGAUACUGAAGUUCCUAUCUUGCCAGGAAAAAAGUUACACAAAAAUGAGUCCCCUGAACCUACUAAUUUCCCAUUUUCUUUUCUUAGCUCCUGUCCAGCCCUUGAAUCUGUUGCAUGAGUGGAAUCUACUAUCCUAGAUUGGAUGUAGAAAGAGCAGUGGCAAUGGAAUGAUUAGAGAAGAAGCGCUGGCCGGGCUGUGAUGUCCAGCAGAGGGAUGGCUGGCAGGUUCUGGAGGUGGCAGCACUGCAUGCAGGCUCGGGGUCAGAUGCCAGCCAGCCAGUCCUUGCCCCAUGUUCAUUAGCUUGGCAUGUUACCUGAACUCUUUUUUGCUUUCUUCAUCUAUAAAGUGUGGGUCAUAGUCACACUUCUGAUUUACAUGAUGGUUUUGAGAAUUAUGUGAACUAACACAUGUAACACAUGUAACAUAUGUAACACAAGACUUAGUAGACAUUAGUUGUUAUCAGAAGGUGGCUCAAGCUAAGAGUCCAAUUGCACACGUUUACUACACUUCCUGAAGGACUAUUAUUUUUGAAUUUAUUCAUAAGGGCUUUAAUACUGUUCAGUUGUAUAUGGGGUAGGCAAACCGAAAGGGAUGUAGGGGAGAAAGAAGGAAAAACGAAGGGCAGGGG